GAUGAACGCUGGCGGCGUGCCUAAUACAUGCAAGUCGAGCGAACGGACGAGAAGCUUGCUUCUCUGAUGUUAGCGGCGGACGGGUGAGUAACACGUGGAUAACCUACCUAUAAGACUGGGAUAACUUCGGGAAACCGGAGCUAAUACCGGAUAAUAUUUUGAACCGCAUGGUUCAAAAGUGAAAGACGGUCUUGCUGUCACUUAUAGAUGGAUCCGCGCUGCAUUAGCUAGUUGGUAAGGUAACGGCUCACCAAGGCAACGAUGCAUAGCCGACCUGAGAGGGUGAGCGGCCACACUGGAACUGAGACACGGUCCAGACUACUACGGGAGGCAGCAGUGGGGAAUCUUCCGCAAUGGGCGAAAGCCUGACGGAGCAACGCCGCGUGAGUGAUGAAGGUCUUCGGAUCGUAAAACUCUGUUAUUAGGGAAGAACAGAUGUGUAAGUAACUGUGCACAUCUUGACGGUACCUAAUCAGAAAGCCACGGCUAACUACGUG
RNAcentral lists this ribosomal RNA (497 nucleotides) under uncultured bacterium. RNAcentral describes it as "partial 16S ribosomal RNA". It matches the Rfam family "Bacterial small subunit ribosomal RNA", at positions 28 to 507 of the family's 1533-position model. The record is from RNAcentral.